UGGUGGAGUGAUUUGUCUGGUUAAUUCCGUUAACGAACGAGACCUCGACCUGCUAACUAGUGCACACUCCUUCGGGAGUGCUCUGUGCUUCUUAGAGGGACUGUCGGAUUUUAGCCGAAGGAAGUUCGAGGCAAUAACA
RNAcentral lists this ribosomal RNA (139 nucleotides) under uncultured eukaryote. RNAcentral's name for it is "partial 18S ribosomal RNA". It matches the Rfam family "Eukaryotic small subunit ribosomal RNA", at positions 1299 to 1458 of the family's 1831-position model. The record is from RNAcentral.